RNAcentral lists this small nuclear RNA (90 nucleotides) under Piliocolobus tephrosceles (Ugandan red Colobus). The record is from RNAcentral. Lineage: Eukaryota; Metazoa; Chordata; Mammalia; Primates; Cercopithecidae.
GUACUCGCUUCAGCAGUAUAUAUACUAAGAAGAUUAGCAUGGCCCCUGUGCAAAGAUGAUAUGCAAAUUCAUGAAGGGUUUCAUUAAAAA